Drosophila teissieri is the source of this 657-nucleotide long non-coding RNA. RefSeq lists it as uncharacterized. NCBI's taxonomy places the organism in Eukaryota, Metazoa, Arthropoda, Insecta, Diptera, Drosophilidae. The transcript has 3 exons. The record is from RefSeq and is a predicted model, not a curated record.
GUAUUCUUAAUAAACUCCGUGAUUUUCUAAGAUAUUGUUGUCAUUUAAAAGUUUCUCAAAUUUCAAAAUAAUUGUGAACUACAUUUUUGCAUUGGGGUCCUUAACAUGCGCUCAAGAAAUGCUUUACAGAAUCAUUGCUCAUUUCAUCUCCAGAACAUCGAGCGUCUUGGGUAGAAAGUUUAAGUGAUGCAUCUUUACAGUACCGAUCUUACUUUAGUAAUUGUGUCAGUGUGCUUCUUCGUCACCUAUAAGCAUUAUCGACGUUGCGUUUGUAGCCGCGACGAAAGCCUUCAUAUUAAAGGGAGAGGAGUUAGCAUGGAACUAAAAAAUAUAUCAGGAUUAAAUGAUCUUCUUCAAAUUAGCAGUUUGAAGGAAUGAAAAUGUAUACCCAGAGUCGCUAAAGGAUAGGGGAAUGCACCGGACACAAGGCCCUAAGUCAGAGGUAACCCGGUAGGCUCGCUGACCAAGGCCGUCGAUCUCUUGCAGCUGAUGCAAAGCACAAGAGUCUAGAAUAUGGACAUGCGGGUUGCCUUCACAAAGACCGACAGCCAACGUAAGAAUGUACAAGGAAUAAUUUGUUAUAGAGAAUAAUGAAAUACAUAUUUAAAAGUAUUUAACGAUAAUACCACAUAAAUAAAACAAUAAAUAAAAUAUACA